Molecule: long non-coding RNA, 1989 nt
Organism: Lytechinus pictus (painted urchin)
Lineage: Eukaryota; Metazoa; Echinodermata; Echinoidea; Temnopleuroida; Toxopneustidae
Exons: 2
Source: RefSeq, a predicted model, not a curated record
UCGUGCACUGACACUACCCGGCCGGGGUGGCUGCCCCGAGCGCCGGCAUGCUGAAUAGGACAGGCUGCGCUGGUGGGCUCAGGGCCCAAGUCUGCACAGACACAGUGCACACUUUAAGGUAAAUGCCAGUUGUGGUAACGAUAUCAAAAUGAAUUCGUACAGAAUCCAAUGAAAUGACCACCAAAGUGUCUGUCUAUAUUUAUAAAUAAUAUACCGUAUGUGCCAAAGGAUUCUGGAAGAAAUUGUGUAAUUGCUGCGAAAUAAGCAAAAAAAGCACAGGAUUCGGGUCAACUCGAGCCAAGGCAAGCGUCGGGACAUUAAUCAGAGCAAUAAUAACUGUCCCACGUAGUCUUAUCUGUGUUGGUGAUCUUCAGUUUGAACAUUUUUCAGCGUAGAUUUCAAGAUUUCACAAAGUUCAGUUUAUGUAACUGUACCAGAUCUACAUGUAUACCCAGUUGUUGUGUGUCCGGACAUCAGGUUGUGUGUCCGGACGAUCAAUUUUAUUUAGAAAGCACAAAGAAGAAUUGUACAGGAAACCCGCGCAUGCGCAGUACGCUCGUUCGAUCGCCAGAGUAGUGCGUGACGUCAUGUUUCAUUCACAAAUCUUGAGCUGUGAUCUCAUUGGGUGUUUUGGCUCUCAUUUGCAUAUUUUCCCAUAAUACAAAACCUAUGUAGUGCGAGAAUUUUCUCUGCGAACCACCGAUCAACCUCAUACUAAACACGACGUAUUUCCUUCAAGAUUUCGAGUUGAAAAUCUCAUUUUCUUCAUACGGUGUAGCUACAUUACCUCGGAAAAUCUGAUGAUAUUUUGCGGACUUCUCGUCAUUUGCAUAUAAUCCGAAGAUGACUGACUGACACUGCUUGAAAGACUGUUGUUCACAAGACCCAAACGGAGCAAAGGUCGAGAGCUACAAGUUCAUAUCGCAUUUUACAACUGCUCAAGAAGGUGAAGGAUUGGGGAUCACUAAAUCAAGACGAUAUAAAAACAAUUUUAUUGUCUUAUGAGAUAAUCUUUCAACUUUAUUUUUACUUAAAAUUGAAUAAGUGAAUAAUUAAAAAAAGUUAUGAAUAUGAUGCUGAGAAGGGUCGAAAAACAGUUUCUGUUAACAAUGAUGCACUGUAAAAUGCUAUUUAUAUGUAUGGUCAUAAUAUUCUUGUGAUUUAUUUGUAAUUAAUUUAUGUAUUAUGUUGUUUCUUUGUUAAAAUAUAAUUCAAACAACGUUGUUUAAUAUGUGAAUUGCAUAGUAGUUGUUUAAACAUUUUAAGUGUUUAACAACUUUAUAAACAACAAAGUUUUAUAAACUCUAAUAUUUAAUUAUCAAUAAAUAAAGCAUGAUUGUUUCAGAUUUUAAACACUUUAUUAAACUGUUUAAACUACUAUGGGAUUCAUGUAGUAAACAGCAUUGUUUGAAUUAUUAUCAUAUGCUCAAUAAAUUCUUAUGCAUUAAAUUUGCCUUUAAUAAGAGUUUCCAGUUCAGUAUGAAUUAUUAAAAACAUGGAAUUCUGGAAGGACAUUCACUUUCACGGAAUAUAGUAAAACGCUGUUUUAACUAAAAAUUAUCAUGAAAAGAAUAAUGAAAAUCAUCAAGAUAAAUCAAAGCCAAACUGUAAAGUGUAAGCAAACCCUAUAUCAUGAUUUCUUUUAAUAAAGAUUUUAACAAUUUGCAACUGCAUCAACUUUACUAUUUUAAUGUCAGUUUAUUACACCAGUCACAUUUCCCCUAUACGGCGGCCGUACGGCAAGUCGAAAACGGCAGUUUAACAUUAUUUUGUACCAGUGUUGUAUACAUAGUUUGAAAGAAAUGAAUAAAACGGCUGUUUUCGACUCGCUGUACGACCGCCGUUGAGCAAAUGUGACUACUAAGGACGUCAAAUUUUAUAGAACAUAUUUUAAUAGAAAACUGGAAAGGAUUGAUAUUAAGUCCAACGAAAUUACUUAAAGCCAGAUUUAUUCUCAAAUUGAUCAAUAAAUUUACCCCAUACUUUCUA